This is a non-coding RNA of Parelaphostrongylus tenuis, 75 nucleotides long. NCBI's taxonomy places the organism in Eukaryota, Metazoa, Nematoda, Chromadorea, Rhabditida, Metastrongylidae. The record is from the annotation of a GenBank genome assembly.
GCGCCGCUGGUGCAACGGUUCAAUCACCGUGCUCCCGGAAAGAGUAAGGUCUGGGUUCGAAUCCCAGCUGACGCA